Molecule: long non-coding RNA, 627 nt
Organism: Habropoda laboriosa
Lineage: Eukaryota; Metazoa; Arthropoda; Insecta; Hymenoptera; Apidae
Exons: 3
Source: RefSeq, a predicted model, not a curated record
CAAUAGUACAACUUCUAAUAACUGGACCUCAUGAAUAUUCCAAUACGCAUGAUGUCGAUAGAAAUGCAACAUCUCUACAAAUAAUAAACUUCACAAAUAGAAUGGAAUUUUCAAAUUUCAACUUACUUCAAAUUGAACGAAACUUUAGAUACUUUAGAAAAAAAGCGCCUUUAAUUACUCGACGGGCAAGUCACGUUGCGCCAAAAUUGAAACUCUGAAAUGGAAAGUAAGCGCAGCGAGCGAACAAUACCCUGAAAGGGCUAACAUGAGGCUGGUCAGACGGCGAGGUGUCGAAUCGUGGACAGAACGUUACGAAACUGCAUAUGCAAGAUGUUUGCCGGGAGAAGAGGUGCACGAUAGCCAGCGGAACGUGCGGAAGCUUUAAAAUUACCACUUACACGUACUUGCGCUAACAGAUAAACGCCGUCCAGUAUUUACCGAUUCACGCUUCGGUAACCUUCGACGUCACUAAAAGUCAGCCAUGUACGUUCCUGUAUGUGUUGCAUGUGUAAACAGGUAACGAAGUGGAGAAGCACUUGCGUCAGAGUACUCCAUCGACGCAUUAAUUAUGGCGAUUAAAGAUUACAGAUGAUCAGGACGAAUUGAGGAAGACAAGAAUAAUAUGAA